RNAcentral lists this ribosomal RNA (466 nucleotides) under uncultured bacterium. RNAcentral describes it as "partial 16S ribosomal RNA". It matches the Rfam family "Bacterial small subunit ribosomal RNA", at positions 28 to 507 of the family's 1533-position model. The record is from RNAcentral.
GACGAACGCUGGCGGCGUGCUUAACACAUGCAAGUCGAACGGAAAGGCCCUGCUUGCAGGGUACUCGAGUGGCGAACGGGUGAGUAACACGUGGGUGAUCUGCCCUGCACUUCGGGAUAAGCUUGGGAAAUUGGGUCUAAUACCGGAUAGGAGCCAUCUUUAGUGUGGUGGUUGGAAAGUUUUUUCGGUGUAGGAUGAGCUCGCGGCCUAUCAGCUUGUUGGUGGGGUAAUGGCCUACCAAGGCGGCGACGGGUAGCCGGCCUGAGAGGGUGUACGGCCACAUUGGGACUGAGAUACGGCCCAGACUCCUACGGGAGGCAGCAGUGGGGAAUAUUGCACAAUGGGCGCAAGCCUGAUGCAGCGACGCCGCGUGGGGGAUGAAGGCCUUCGGGUUGUAAACUCCUUUCGCUAGGGACGAAGCUUUGUUGUGACGGUACCUAGAUAAGAAGCACCGGCUAACUACGUG